AGGGUCGUCAAAGACGAUGACGUUGAUAGGACGCAGGUGUAAAGACGGUGACGUCAAAGCCGAGCGUUACUAAUUGCCCGUCCGCUUUAUUCC
RNAcentral lists this ribosomal RNA (93 nucleotides) under Mediterranea massiliensis. Its description in RNAcentral is "partial 23S ribosomal RNA". It matches the Rfam family "Bacterial large subunit ribosomal RNA", at positions 2831 to 2925 of the family's 2925-position model. Lineage: Bacteria; Pseudomonadati; Bacteroidota; Bacteroidia; Bacteroidales; Bacteroidaceae. The record is from RNAcentral.